GAAGAGUUUGAUCCUGGCUCAGGAUGAACGCUAGCUACAGGCUUAACACAUGCAAGUCGCGGGGCAGCAUGGUCUUAGCUUGCUAAGGCUGAUGGCGACCGGCGCACGGGUGAGUAACGCGUAUCCGACCUGCCCUCCACCCGGGGAUAGCCUUUCGAAAGAAAGAUUAAUACCCGAUGGCACACGUCUCCUGCCUGGGAGGCGUGUUAAAGGUCCCGACCGGUGGCGGAUGGGGAUGCGUUCCAUUAGUUAGUUGGCGGGGUAACGGCCCACCAAGACGACGAUGGAUAGGGGUUCUGAGAGGAAGGUCCCCCACAUUGGAACUGAGACACGGUCCAAACUCCUACGGGAGGCAGCAGUGAGGAAUAUUGGUCAAUGGCCGUAAGGCUGAACCAGCCAAGUAGCGUGAAGGACGACGGCCCUACGGGUUGUAAACUUCUUUUAUAAGGGAAUAAAGUUGCGUACGCGUACGCAUUUGCAUGUACCUUAUGAAUAAGCAUCGGCUAACUCCGUGCCAGCAGCCGCGGUAAUACGGAGGAUGCGAGCGUUAUCCGGAUUUAUUGGGUUUAAAGGGAGCGCAGACGGGAGGGUAAGUCAGCUGUGAAAGUUUGCGGCUCAACCGUAAAAUUGCAGUUGAAACUGUCUUUCUUGAGUGCGGCAGAGGCAGGCGGAAUUCGUGGUGUAGCGGUGAAAUGCUUAGAUAUCACGAAGAACUCCGAUUGCGAAGGCAGCCUGCCGGGCCGUAACUGACGUUGAGGCUCGAAAGUGCGGGUAUCAAACAGGAUUAGAUACCCUGGUAGUCCGCACCGUAAACGAUGAACACUCGCCGUUGGCGAUAUACAGUCAGCGGCCCAGCGAAAGCGUUAAGUGUUCCACCUGGGGAGUACGCCGGCAACGGUGAAACUCAAAGGAAUUGACGGGGGCCCGCACAAGCGGAGGAACAUGUGGUUUAAUUCGAUGAUACGCGAGGAACCUUACCCGGGCUUGAACUGUACCGGACCGCGGUGGAAACACCGCUUCCCUUCGGGGCUGGUAUGGAGGUGCUGCAUGGUUGUCGUCAGCUCGUGCCGUGAGGUGUCGGCUCAAGUGCCAUAACGAGCGCAACCCUCAUGACCAGUUGCCAUCGGGUGAUGCCGGGGACUCUGGUCAGACUGCCUUCGUAAGAUGUGAGGAAGGGGGGGAUGACGUCAAAUCAGCACGGCCCUUACGUCCGGGGCUACACACGUGUUACAAUGGGGGGUACAGCAGGCCGCGACCCGGCGACGGGCAGCCAAUCCCGAAAACCCCUCUCAGUUCGGACUGGAGUCUGCAACCCGACUCCACGAAGCUGGAUUCGCUAGUAAUCGCGCAUCAGCCACGGCGCGGUGAAUACGUUCCCGGGCCUUGUACACACCGCCCGUCAAGCCAUGAAAGCCGGGGGUGCCUGAAGUGCGUAACCGCAAGGAGCGCCCUAGGGCAAAACCGGUGAUUGGGGCUAAGUCGUAACAAGGUAGCCGUACCGGAAGGUGCGGCUGGAACACCUCCUUU
This 1527-nucleotide ribosomal RNA is filed under the name Paraphocaeicola brunensis. RNAcentral's name for it is "16S ribosomal RNA". It matches the Rfam family "Bacterial small subunit ribosomal RNA". The record is from RNAcentral. Lineage: Bacteria; Pseudomonadati; Bacteroidota; Bacteroidia; Bacteroidales; Bacteroidaceae.